AUUGAACGCUGGCGGCACGCUUAACACAUGCAAGUCGAACGGCAGCACAAGGGGGUAACCCCUGGGUGCGAGUGGCGGACGGGUGAGUAACGCGUAGGGAUCUGCCUGUUAGAGGGGGAUAAGCCGGGGAAACUCGGUCUAAUACCGCAUACGCUCUACGGAGGAAAGGAUGGGAUCGCAAGACCAUUCACUAACAGAUGAACCUGCGUUAGAUUAGCUAGUUGGUAGGGUAAAGGCCUACCAAGGCGACGAUCUAUAGCUGGUCUGAGAGGAUGACCAGCCACACUGGAACUGAGAUACGGACCAGACUCCUACGGGAGGCUG
RNAcentral lists this ribosomal RNA (324 nucleotides) under uncultured Pseudomonadota bacterium. RNAcentral describes it as "bacterial SSU rRNA". It matches the Rfam family "Bacterial small subunit ribosomal RNA", at positions 30 to 351 of the family's 1533-position model. The record is from RNAcentral. Lineage: Bacteria; Pseudomonadati; Pseudomonadota.